UUUGUGUUAGAUUUGAACAAAAUUCUUCCAACAGUGUAAGGACUUAGUCUUUCUACUUUAAUUUGCAAUUGUUCUAGAAGCCUAUCAUAUGGGUCAGGUGGUCACUCUGCAGCACAAGGAGUACUAUCCCACAUUGGAUCUGAUGUUAAUAUUUCCCUUAGACAUGCAGAAUUAAAUGGAAGAAUUCUGGGAGCCCCUGUCUUGCUUUCAGAGUUCAGCAACUGAGGAAAGUCUUGAUGGAUCACACUGCCCUGGAGGAGGA
Acanthochromis polyacanthus (spiny chromis) is the source of this 262-nucleotide long non-coding RNA. RefSeq lists it as uncharacterized. NCBI's taxonomy places the organism in Eukaryota, Metazoa, Chordata, Actinopteri, Pomacentridae. The transcript has 3 exons. The record is from RefSeq and is a predicted model, not a curated record.